RNAcentral lists this ribosomal RNA (433 nucleotides) under uncultured bacterium. RNAcentral's name for it is "partial 16S ribosomal RNA". It matches the Rfam family "Bacterial small subunit ribosomal RNA", at positions 29 to 507 of the family's 1533-position model. The record is from RNAcentral.
AACGAACGCUGGCGGCAGGCCUGACACAUGCAAGUCGAGCGAGGACUCCGGUUCUAGCGGCGGACGGGUGUGUCACGCGAGGGAAUGUGCACUUCUCUACGGCAUAGCCAUGGGACACUGGGAGCAAUACCGAACACGACCUAAUGGGGAAUGAUAUAUCGGAGCAGGAUCAGCCCGCGUUGGAUUAGGUAGUUGGUGUGGUAAUGGCCUAAUACGCCGCCGAUCCAUAGCUGGUUUGUGAGAAUGCUCAGCGACUCUGGGACUGGGACCCGGCCGAGACUCCUACGGGAUGCAGGAGUGCGUAAUGUUAGACAAUGGCGGCAACCCUGAACUUCCCAUGCCGCGUGAGUGAUGAAAGCCGUAGGGUUGUAAAGCGCUUGCAGCUGGGAAGAUAAUGACGGUACCAGCAGAAGAAGCCCCGGCUAACUCCGUG